GACGAACGCUGGCGGCGUGCUUAACACAUGCAAGUCGAACGGAAAGGCCCUGCUUUUGUGGGGUGCUCGAGUGGCGAACGGGUGAGUAACACGUGAGUAACCUGCCCUUGACUUUGGGAUAACUUCAGGAAACUGGGGCUAAUACCGGAUAGGAGCUCCUGCUGCAUGGUGGGGGUUGGAAAGUUUCGGCGGUUGGGGAUGGACUCGCGGCUUAUCAGCUUGUUGGUGGGGUAGUGGCUUACCAAGGCUUUGACGGGUAGCCGGCCUGAGAGGGUGACCGGCCACAUUGGGACUGAGAUACGACCCAGACUCCUACUGGAGGCAGCAGUGUAGAAUAUUCCACAAUGGGCGGAAGCCUGAUGCAGCAACGCCGCGUGCGGGAUGACGGCCUUCGGGUUGUAAACCGCUUUCGCCUGUGACGAAGCGUGAGUGACGGUAAUGGGUAAAGAAGCACCGGCUAACUACGUG
RNAcentral lists this ribosomal RNA (468 nucleotides) under uncultured bacterium. RNAcentral's name for it is "partial 16S ribosomal RNA". It matches the Rfam family "Bacterial small subunit ribosomal RNA", at positions 28 to 507 of the family's 1533-position model. The record is from RNAcentral.